RNAcentral lists this ribosomal RNA (497 nucleotides) under uncultured bacterium. RNAcentral describes it as "partial 16S ribosomal RNA". It matches the Rfam family "Bacterial small subunit ribosomal RNA", at positions 28 to 507 of the family's 1533-position model. The record is from RNAcentral.
GAUGAACGCUGGCGGCGUGCCUAACACAUGCAAGUCGAGCGAACAGACGAGGAUUUUGCUUGUCUGACGCUAGGGGCGGACGGGUGAUGAACACGAGUAUAACUUACCUAGAAGACUGGGAUAAGUUCGGGAACCCGGAUAUAACACCGGAUAAGAUAGUGAAACGCAUGGUUCUUUAGUGAUAGACGUAUCUGCUGUCCCUAGUAGGUGGUUCCGGGCCGGAUUAGCUAGUUGGUAGGGUAACGGCUUACCAAGGCUACGAUGCGUAGCCGACCUGAGAGGGUGAUCGGCCACACUGGAACUGAGACACGGUCCAGACUCCUACGGGAGGCAGCAGUAGGGAAUAUUCGGCAAUGGGCGAAAGCCUGACGCAGCCACGCCGCGUGUGUGAAGAAGGUCUUCGGAUCGUAAAGCUCUGUUAUUAGGGAGGAACAAAUGUGUAAGUAACUCUGGACGUCUUGACGGUACCUAAACAGAAAGCAACGGCUAACUACGUG